GAUGAACGCUGGCGGCGUGCCUAAUACAUGCAAGUCGAGCGAAUGGAUUAAGAGCUUGCUCUUAUGAAGUUAGCGGCGGACGGGUGAGUAACACGUGGGUAACCUGCCCAUAAGACUGGGAUAACUCCGGGAAACCGGGGCUAAUACCGGAUAAUAUUUUGAACUGCAUGGUUCAAAAUUGAAAGGCGGCUUCGGCUGUCACCUAUGGAUGGACCCGCGGCGCAUUAGCGAGUUGGGGAGGUAACGGCUCACCAAGGCAACGAUGCGUAGCCGACCUGAGAGGGUGAUCGGCCACACUGGGACUGAGACACGGCCCAGACUCCUACGGGAGGCAGCAGUAGGGAAUCUUCCGCAAUGGACGAAAGUCUGACGGAGCAACGCCGCGUGAGUGAUGAAGGCUUUCGGGUCGUAAAACUCUGUUGUUAGGGAAGAACAAGUGCUAGUUGAAUAAGCUGGCACCUUGACGGUACCUAACCAGAAAGCCACGGCUAACUACGUGCCAGCCGCCGCCGUAA
Molecule: ribosomal RNA, 515 nt
Filed under: uncultured bacterium
Lineage: Bacteria
Description: partial 16S ribosomal RNA
Rfam family: Bacterial small subunit ribosomal RNA
Source: RNAcentral